RNAcentral lists this ribosomal RNA (253 nucleotides) under uncultured bacterium. RNAcentral's name for it is "partial 16S ribosomal RNA". It matches the Rfam family "Bacterial small subunit ribosomal RNA", at positions 524 to 776 of the family's 1533-position model. The record is from RNAcentral.
UACGUAGGCAGCAAGCGUUGUUCGGAGUUACUGGGCGUAAAGGGUGUGUAGGCGGUUCUUUAAGUUUGGUGUGAAAUCUCCCGGCUCAACUGGGAGGGUGCGCCGAAUACUGAGGGACUAGAGUACGGGAGAGGAAAGUGGAAUUCCUGGCGUAGCGGUGAAAUGCGUAGAUAUCAGGAGGAACACCGGUGGUGUAGACGGCUUUCUGGACCGUAACUGACGCUGAAACACGAAAGCGUGGGGAGCAAACAGG